AUUAAUAUAUAUUUAUAUUUAAAGGUAUUUCUUGAUAAUCUGAAUGUAGUAUUUUGACGUUUACGUAGUUCCAUUCAUCAUGAAAAACAAUAAAUUAUUGCUAGUAAAUAUCGAAAAAUAUAUUUUUUUUUGUUUCCUUGUAUAUUGUAAUUAUUAUAAAAUAAUAUGCAUUUUUAUGCCCCUUACCAAUCAGGACGAUUAUUAAGGGGCGGAGCCAGUUCCAACCAUGGGCUGUACCCACACUCGUGUAGGGGGCCAGAUGAAGUACGAGGAUCGCUGAGCCGGGACAAAAGUUUUCAGGAGAUGCCCUACUCGGAUCCUUCUGCGUGGCAUGCCAGCACAUUACCACCCAGCCAUCCGGCCGCACGAUGUGCUAUAUUUUGAUAAAGAUCAUAUUAUAAUCGAGCAUGAAUUAUAUACUUGACAAUAUGGCGACGAUAUUCGAGAAAUUUAUUAAACAAAAUCCGAUUCUCAUAAUAUAAAAACAUUGUAUCUAAAGGAAAUGAAUUUUCAUAAAAAUUUGUCAAGUUUAUCUGGGUUUAUAAACUAUUUCGCCAUAACUGAUUUAAAUUUAAAAAAAAAAGCCUCAAGCAUGCACAUCUCCC
Molecule: long non-coding RNA, 605 nt
Filed under: Androctonus crassicauda
Lineage: Eukaryota; Metazoa; Arthropoda; Arachnida; Scorpiones; Buthidae
Source: RNAcentral